This is a long non-coding RNA of Notolabrus celidotus (New Zealand spotty), 683 nucleotides long. RefSeq lists it as uncharacterized. The transcript has 3 exons. The record is from RefSeq and is a predicted model, not a curated record. NCBI's taxonomy places the organism in Eukaryota, Metazoa, Chordata, Actinopteri, Labriformes, Labridae.
GUAGAAUAUUUAGCGGUCAGAUUCUUCACUGAAACGCUCCCUUGUUCACCCCUCCUGUUGCUGAAGUGACAGAGGCUUUUGAGGACAAGAAGCUCCUGGGAUGCAAAACAUAAACUCCACCAGGUGCUGCUGGAAACAAUGGCCGGCCCAUGCAGGGAUCAAUGCCAGGCCACUGAUGGGCUCUCAUUCCUUCAGCAGCAGACGUGAUAAAUGACACGGCCCAUAUGUUUCAGCAGCGUAGACUCCAGCCGCCAGCCUCCUUUGUCUCCACAUCUAAAGGGAGUUAUGCUGUGAAAAAUUAAAUCCUGAUGUCUAUACAGGUAGCAGUGCUCUGGCCCCUGCCUGCACAGUCCCAGGUGUCUUGUCAGCUGUCAGAGACGUCCGACAGCAGACAGGGAUGGCAUGACCAGCGGGCCGGGCCGUGUUGGACGGGUCAGCCGUCAGCGUUGUGGACAGACAGGCAUGUGGCAGUGAUCUCGCUGUGACAGGCUGUCAGAGCCACCGGAGAGCCACCAACCAGCUCUCGCCCCCUGUCAUCCCCGCAGACAGAGGGGAGGCUCUGAAUUCUCAACAUGGCACCCUGAGUCCACCGCUUCCUUCCCCUGUUGCUGCACUGUACAUCCACUGUGGCUUCUUUAUCUGUGAAAUGCCUGGGUGUGGUGGCUGGGAGUGUUUGAGUUUAA